This 62-nucleotide transfer RNA is filed under the name Pallenopsis patagonica. Its description in RNAcentral is "tRNA-Pro". Lineage: Eukaryota; Metazoa; Arthropoda; Pycnogonida; Pantopoda; Pallenopsidae. The record is from RNAcentral.
CAGAUAAUAGUUUAGCUAGAAUAAUAAUUUUGGAGAUUAUAGGAGAUAUUUUUCUUAUUUGA